RNAcentral lists this ribosomal RNA (396 nucleotides) under uncultured bacterium. Its description in RNAcentral is "bacterial SSU rRNA". It matches the Rfam family "Bacterial small subunit ribosomal RNA", at positions 28 to 428 of the family's 1533-position model. The record is from RNAcentral.
GACGAACGCUGGCGGCGUGCUUAACACAUGCAAGUCGAGCGGUAAGGCCCUUUCGGGGGUACACGAGCGGCGAACGGGUGAGUAACACGUGGGUGACCUGCCUUCAGCUCUGGGAUAAGCCUGGGAAACUGGGUCUAAUACCGGAUAUGACUCCAUGAUGCAUGUUGUGGGGUGGAAAGCUUUUGCGGCUGGAGAUGGGCCCGCGGCCUAUCAGCUUGUUGGUGGGGUGANGGCCUACCAAGGCGACGACGGGUAGCCGGCCUGAGAGGGCGACCGGCCACACUGGGACUGAGACACGGCCCAGACUCCUACGGGAGGCAGCAGGUGGGGAAUCUUGCGCAAUGGGCAAAGCCUGACGCAGCGACGCCGCGUGAGGGAUGACGGCCUCGGUUGUAA